GGUGCAAACUUGAAGUAGAGUACAUUAGUAUGGUCAGCUGAUCCUAACAAUCUACUCUACUUCAAGUUUGGGCCC
This is a non-coding RNA of Haemonchus placei, 75 nucleotides long. The record is from Rfam. NCBI's taxonomy places the organism in Eukaryota, Metazoa, Nematoda, Chromadorea, Rhabditida, Trichostrongylidae.